RNAcentral lists this ribosomal RNA (253 nucleotides) under uncultured bacterium. RNAcentral's name for it is "partial 16S ribosomal RNA". It matches the Rfam family "Bacterial small subunit ribosomal RNA", at positions 524 to 776 of the family's 1533-position model. The record is from RNAcentral.
UACGUAGGUGGCAAGCGUUGUCCGGAAUUACUGGGCGUAAAGGGCGUGUAGGUGGUCAAACAAGUCAGGUGUGAAACCCCAGGGCUUAACCUUGGGCAUGCAUAAGAAACUGCAGGACUUGAGGGCAAGAGAGGAGAGUGGAAUUCCCAGUGUAGCGGUGAAAUGCGUAGAUAUUGGGAGGAACACCAGUGGCGAAGGCGACUCUCUGGUCUGCACCUGACGCUGAAUCGCGAAAGCGUGGGGAGCAAACGGG